Molecule: ribosomal RNA, 460 nt
Filed under: uncultured bacterium
Lineage: Bacteria
Description: partial 16S ribosomal RNA
Rfam family: Bacterial small subunit ribosomal RNA
Source: RNAcentral
CCUACGGGAGGCAGCAGUGAGGAAUAUUGGUCAAUGGACGAGAGUCUGAACCAGCCAAGUAGCGUGAAGGAUGACUGCCCUAUGGGUUGUAAACUUCUUUUAUAUGGGAAUAAAACGUUCCACGUGUGGGAUUUUGUAUGUACCAUAUGAAUAAGGAUCGGCUAACUCCGUGCCAGCAGCCGCGGUAAUACGGAGGAUCCGAGCGUUAUCCGGAGUUAUUGGGUUUAAAGGGAGCGUAGGUGGAUUGUUAAGUCAGUUGUGAAAGUUUGCGGCUCAAACGUAAAAUUGCAGUUGAAACUGGCAGUCUUGAGUACAGUAGAGGUGGGCGGAAUUCGUGGUGUAGCGGUGAAAUGCUGAGAUAUCACGAAGAACUCCGAUUGCGAAGGCAGUUCACUGGACUGCAACUGACACUGAGGCUCGAAAGUGUGGGUAUCAAACAGGAUUAGAUACCCGGGUAGUC